GACGAACGCUGGCGGCGUGCCUAAUACAUGCAAGUCGAGCGGACGAUUCGAAAGCUUGCUUUUGAAUCGUUAGCGGCGGACGGGUGAGUAACACGUGGGCAACCUGCCCUGUAGACGGGGAUAACACCGAGAAAUCGGUGCUAAUACCGGAUAACACGAAAUGUCGCAUGACGUUUCGUUGAAAGGCGGCGCAAGCUGCCGCUACAGGAUGGGCCCGCGGCGCAUUAGCUAGUUGGUGAGGUAACGGCUCACCAAGGCGACGAUGCGUAGCCGACCUGAGAGGGUGAUCGGCCACACUGAGACUGAGACACGGCCCAGACUCCUACGGGAGGCAGCAGUAGGGAAUCUUCCGCAAUGGACGAAAGUCUGACGGAGCAACGCCGCGUGAGCGAAGAAGGCCUUCGGGUCGUAAAGCUCUGUUGUUAGGGAAGAACAAGUAACGUAGUAACUGACGUUACUAUGACGGUACCUAACGAGAAAGCCACGGCUAACUACGUG
RNAcentral lists this ribosomal RNA (498 nucleotides) under uncultured bacterium. RNAcentral's name for it is "partial 16S ribosomal RNA". It matches the Rfam family "Bacterial small subunit ribosomal RNA", at positions 28 to 507 of the family's 1533-position model. The record is from RNAcentral.